Molecule: ribosomal RNA, 253 nt
Filed under: uncultured bacterium
Lineage: Bacteria
Description: partial 16S ribosomal RNA
Rfam family: Bacterial small subunit ribosomal RNA
Source: RNAcentral
UACGUAGGGUGCGAGCGUUAAUCGGAAUUACUGGGCGUAAAGCGUGCGCAGGCGGCUUUGCAAGACAGAUGUGAAAUCCCCGGGCUCAACCUGGGAACUGCAUUUGUGACUGCAAGGCUAGAGUACGGCAGAGGGGGAUGGAAUUCCGCGUGUAGCAGUGAAAUGCGUAGAUAUGCGGAGGAACACCAAUGGCGAAGGCAAUCCCCUGGGCCUGUACUGACGCUCAUGCACGAAAGCGUGGGUAGCAAACAGG